Canis lupus familiaris (dog) is the source of this 5331-nucleotide long non-coding RNA. RefSeq lists it as uncharacterized. Lineage: Eukaryota; Metazoa; Chordata; Mammalia; Carnivora; Canidae. The transcript has 3 exons. The record is from RefSeq and is a predicted model, not a curated record.
CCGGAGCCGCCGCCGGAGCCCCCGCCGGCCCAGGGAGGACAGUUCCCAGCCGAGGCCUCCCGUCCGCUGCCUCCUGACCGUGCAGUUGGCGUCCUCCCACGGGGAGGAACGCGGUUGAGAACCGGAGGACUCUAACUUGCCGACCUCACUCGACGAGUGCGACGCGCGGCCCACCCAACUCCGAGAGGUGUGGCCCGAGAGUCCCGGGGAAGGGGCAUCUGCAGGAGCUUCCGUCGCGACCCCCCAGGGCAGAAACACAAAGGAACUUCUGACGUAAUGGGAAUGUUCUAUGUUUUGAUGAGAAUGGUGAUCACAUAUUCCUCCUUAUGCCUCCUAUUGGCUGAGCCAUUUGAUAGCUGCAAGGCAAAGGAGCACAGGUGCCAGAGUCCUUAGAGAUCAUCCCCUCAAGGUACAGAGUUGGUCAGAGAAGGGCAGGAAAUGGAGCUGGAAAGACCAUUGGAAAACAACCACAUAGUCCAUCUAUUCUUUCUUUCACAUGAUGAAGAGAAUUCAAAACAAAACGGGGGAAACAUAAAGUCCUAUCAGGUUCUGUAUGUUGAUUCAAUCAUAUUCUCACUUGGAGCUUAACUGUAAUACUAACCACCAUCAGUGGUUAUUUUCACAUGAGUGCUAUUUCACACAAAAGGCAAAGGGAAGAAGUAAGUAACAAUAAAACAUGCAUGCUAGAGGCCCAUUUCCAUAACUGGUCAUGAGGCCUUAUUCGAUAAUCAUGGCAAUGUUCCCCCUUCCAUUCUAUGAGCAUCUUGACCUACAUGACGUUUUUUUUUUUUUUUUAACUGGUGGGAAACUUUAACUCAUACUAAGAAUCUAUCUUUUUUAGUUUGCCAUGGUUUCUUGCUGAUUAUUGUCACUGGACAUGGGCGUCCCCUGGGAUCUGGACAUUGUCAUCCAUACCUUAUUAUGUAGCAGCUACCCAAUUUUCCUUGGUAAUCAGGAUCAAUCACCAGCCAGUACGGUGACCUUCUCUGUUUGCUGGAGAGCAAUCUUUGCUUCCAAGUUACUAGCAUAUGGCUGUGUAUUUACUGGUGAAAGUAGGUCUCCUUUGCCCUUUGCCCACCCAAACCUUUCAGUUCACCAAUCUAAAGAUUGUGGGGAUGGUAUCCAAAACUUUGGGAGGUCGGUUAUUAGGUAAAAUGGAAAGGAGGUCAUUCCCACUUCUGCUCCUUGGUUUUUAGGCAGUGGAUUCUGUCUAUAAGAGAAAUGACACCAUGUAUUGGCUGCUGGUUUAAGACACAUCUGUAUGCUGGGUAAAUGCCCUAAGCUCUCAAAGUGUUGUCACCAGGUGUGACCUCACCUAUCAAGCCACCUGCUUCUGGGUAAUAAGGCAUGCAGUAAAACUCUACUGCCCUACUGCCUUUGCUGCAAAAUCAGUUUCUUGGUUCCAGAUGAUGUAAUGCAUGAUUCUAUGGCAAUUGAUGAAACAUUCUAUGAGUCCAUGGUAGUCAUGCUAGUAGAAGCAAAGAAGGCAAGGAAGGUAAUAUAUCUAGAAUAAGGAUCUAUUACAAUGAGAACAAAUAACUGUGACUGUGAAAAAAGGAUCCAAUACAAAUAACCUUUCCCCACAUACCCAACAGGAGGGGUCUACUAGGAAAUGAUGCUGUAUGGGGACUCUUGGUGGCUUCUGCUGUUGGCACAUUGGACACUCAGCAGUGGUGGUAAUCAGAUCAAAUCUAAGAAGAUGUUUGUAUUAUUCCACUAUUGCAUGGCCUCCAUCUCUGCUGCCAUCAUCCCUACAUAUCUGCUUCCAUUAUAGAAGUACAGAUGUGGCUGGAGAAGAGGUACCUGACAACUAGAGUGUGGGUCCCAUUCUCCAAGUGUCCACCUGAUUAUUAAGGGCAUCCUCUCCACUGAAUGCCUCUGGGGGGCAUGGGCUGCAUAUAUCACAGGCUUCUAAUUCCAAGAGGUCCGUGCUGAUAACAUUGUUAUCAGUCUUCCAGUCUUGAACUUUUCAAGUCUCUGACCAAUUAUUUUAGGCAUUAUCCAUAGAUCUGUGCAGAUUCAUGAACAAGGCCAUGAAAACCAAAGUUCUAUCCAUUGGGAGAAUUUCCUUUUGCUACUUUUUUCUUCAUUGUGGUAAAAUAUACUUAACACAAAACCUAUCACUUUAAUCAUUAUUGUAAGUAUAAUCUGUGACAUUUGGUACAUUCAUGUUGUUGUACAACCAUCACCGCCAUUCAUCUCCAGAAAUUUUUCAGCAUCCCUAACAGAAGCUUUGUACCCAUUAAACAAUAAAUCCCAUUUCUUCAGCCUCCCAACCCCUGGUAACCACUGUUCUACUUCUAGUCUCUCCAAAUGAACCAUUUACUCGGCUAAUAACUACCAAACAGGUACGAAAGCCUGUGUUGGUUUAUUCUAGUAAUGACAACAUUCCAAGAAGAACAGGUAUCAACACUUGUUUAUCUUGAAGAUGAGCCACUAAUAUUUUCCAAACUCUUCUGGCUUUUGCUCUGGCAAAUGGGAAACACUGAAUGACCAGACAUACUGGUUCAUACCUGUUGUUUACAGCUGUUGUCCCAGUAUCCCAUCCAAUUUCAUAUUUGACCCAGAUUUCUCAUUUUCUGAAGAAAUAUUUUUUUUGUUCUGAAGAAAUAUUAUUAAUAGUAGAAUUAACAUUAAGUCAGAAUGGUAGUCCUCGAUCCUGUACUUCUUCUGGUUUGUGAAUGUUCUCAUCUAAUAGUGUGUGAGAUGCAUGUGUAGUUCUCACUUGAAAAAUGAUUAAACAUGAAAGCUAUCUAGUGAACUAUCUCAUUUUCCCUGAUCUUCUCCUAAUGCCAUGUAACCAACUUCUCACUUUUAAGGACAGUAUGCAAACCAAUCAAUUAUAUAAUCAAGUAUGCUCAGUCCCAAGUGGCUUGGGACAACUCACUCCUUAGAGCCUGUGAUUAUGAUAGGAAAAGUAUUCAAACCUCCUGUCAGCCACUUAAUUAGGUGAUUUUCAGUGACCUGAGAUGCAUGAGGCCACCAGUCAGAAGGUCAGUAGGAAAAGUGAGACAUGAUAGGUUAGAUUUAUGUGAAAUAUGUGCACAAAAUAGGGACUGGAUAAUUUGAACCUGGAGCAGUUAGUGUAUACUUUGAAUGCUCUUACUACUUAGAAUGAUCAUUUAUUGUACAGUGUAAAUCUAGUUAUUAGUUAUUAGUUAUUUUUAGUAACUAUUUUGCAGUAAAUCCUUUUGGUAACAAUGAAUUAAGAAAGGAAAUGCAUAUUUAGUGAAAAAUCAAGUACUGUAUUUCCAUUUAUCAAGGCAGUUAGUAACGAACAUGUUAAGUCGCCCAACAUAUUUGUCAGUAUUUACCACUCAUCAUGGACCCGAGGAAUAUCUCUGACAACAUGAAAAUCAGAAUAUGUGAAUCUACUAAAGAGGCAUCAGCAAUCAUUCUAAAAGUUUGAGGGCAGCAUUUAACAUGUAUAAUAUCCAUUUACAUAUCAUUCCAUGAAACAUGAUUUUUCAAUUCAAAUGACUUUUAAAUUAAUUUCAUUUUAUUUCAAGUUUUCUUGUGCACGUACAUUGAUUCCAUCAAUGGUUAAAUAAUGCCAGCUUCACACAGUGUUAUCAGGUACUUUAAGUAGAAAAUCAGUCUACUCCAAUUUUUUUUUAUCAACUGUAUACAUGAAAUCAAUAUAAACUUUUUGGAGGCUCAUUCUGUCAAAGGAAAAACAUUUGACAUUAUUUAAAGGCUAUAAUUUUUAUUUUUUUCUAGUGAUUAUAUACAAAUUCUGGUGAUAAAAAUAUCUACACUAAAUUAAGAAACCUCUGGAUGUUUCUAGAAUUCUUGAAUACAUUAUGAUGCCUGUAUGAUCCAUAAUUUCACACAAGCUAUGAUAUCCUAUAGGCCUGAAAAACUUGCUCGGAUUAUUUAUUUAUUCACUAUUGAAUAUAUUUGACAUAUAUAUUUGUAUAUAUGUAAUUUGUAUAAAUUUAAGAUGUACAAAAUGUCAUUUUGAUACAUUUAUACAUUGUAAUAUUAUUGCCUUUGUAUUCAAUCACAUUCCAUAAUUAUGGCACAAUAUUGUUGUCUAUAUUAUUUAUAAAGUGCAUUAGAUCACUGUGGCUUAUUCACUACUUGUUGCAAGUUUAUACCCUUAAACAACAUCAGUCUUAUCUCCAUCCCUAACUUGUAUUAUCUUAUUAUCUAUUUGAUGUUUCUUCCCUCUGUCGGAUUUCUUCUUUUGGAUUUCCUACAUUUAACAUUCUGGGUCUCCUGGAUUCAUUAUCUAAUUUUCUUGUUUUUUCCCUCUGGGGUUAUGAGGAUGGUCAAACACAUGACACCCAACACUAGACAGAUUAGACUGACAGCAGUUUAGUAGUCACUUAUACUCACAGGGUAGGGAAGAAGGACACUGCAUGCCAUUUAGGGCCACAUAGGGGUUGGCACUUGGGAACAGAGUGAGCAAGUAGGGGCUAAGUGACAUAGGCUUUAUUUAUUUAUUUAUUUAUUUAUUUAUUUAUUUAUUUUUUAAUUUAUUUUUUAUUGGUGUUCAAUUUACUAACAUACAGAAUAACCCCCAGUGCCCGUGACAUAGGCUUUAAAUAACAAGAAUGUCAGGUGACCUCUGGUUCCUCUGGGAGGAUGUGAUUGUCCUGUUUGAAUAAUUUCCUCAGGCUGGUGGAGACCUGGAGCCUGCUACUCAGUGAAAAGCAGAAACUAUGACUGGUCCCCGUGAGAAGGAGGGUUGUUUGGCUAGGGGACUUUAUCCUAGGAAUCACAAUGAGAAGAAGAAAUUGAGGUUAGCCAUGUGAGGGCCUCCUGAUUUUACCAGAUGUCAUGACCUAGGAGAGAUAAUUUAAGUGCUGGGUUUCAUAUCCUUGUUUGUUAAAUGGGGAUAAUCAUACCAAUGCCUUAUGGUUCUCACUAUGAUUAAAUGAGAUGUCCUAUCACACUGUAAAUGCAGCAAAGUAAUUGGCUAAGCAAUAGGUCUAUAAUUCUUCCUCUUCAUUACCUGGGAGACACAAGGAAAGAAAGAAAGUGAGCCACUUAAAUAGCUUUAUAAACAUUUAAUGACAGACCUCCUAGCAAACAAAUUGAUGGUGUUGCUAGUGGGAGAGUCUUAUCCUUGGAAUGCUUUUAGAAGGAUAUACCCGGUUGUCUAGGAUUGCCUAUGUUAAACAAACUUAUAAUCUAUGGAUUCCUGGGGCAUGUGUGCCUGGAGAUAUCAUGUAAGUUAUGGGACCAUCUAAAUAGAAAACAGAGUUGUCGGGGAUCCCUGGGUGGCUCAGCGGUUUAGCGCCUGCCUUUGGCCCAGGGUGCGAUCCUGGAGUCCGGGGAUGGAGUUCCACAUCGGGCUUCUGGCAUGGAACCUGCUUCUCCCUC